GACGAACGCUGGCGGCAUGCCUAAUACAUGCAAGUCGAGCGAACAGUUAUAGAAGCUUGCUUCUAUAAAUGUUAGCGGCGGAUGGGUGAGUAACACGUGGGCAACCUGCCCUGCAGAUGGGGAUAACUCCGGGAAACCGGGGCUAAUACCGGAUAAUCAGGUUGCCCGCAUGGACAAACUCUAAAAGACGGCUUCGGCUGGCACUGCAGGAUGGGCCCGCGGCGCAUUAGCUAGUUGGUGGGAUAACGGCCUACCAAGGCAACGAUGCGUAGCCGACCUGGGAGGGUGAUCGCCCACACUGGAACUGAGACACGGCCCAGACUCCUACGGGAGGCAGCAGUAGGGAAUCUUCCGCAAUGGUCGGAAGUCUGAUGGAGCAAUGCCGCGUGAGCGACGACGGUUUUCGGAUCGUAAAGCUCUGUUGUGAGGGAAGAACAAGUACGGGAGUAACUGCCCGUACCUUGACGGUACCUCAUUAGAAAGCCACGGCUAACUACGUG
Molecule: ribosomal RNA, 500 nt
Filed under: uncultured bacterium
Lineage: Bacteria
Description: partial 16S ribosomal RNA
Rfam family: Bacterial small subunit ribosomal RNA
Source: RNAcentral